This 430-nucleotide ribosomal RNA is filed under the name uncultured bacterium. Its description in RNAcentral is "partial 16S ribosomal RNA". It matches the Rfam family "Bacterial small subunit ribosomal RNA", at positions 29 to 504 of the family's 1533-position model. The record is from RNAcentral.
AACGAACGCUGGCGGCAUGCCUAACACAUGCAAGUCGAACGAGACCUUCGGGCCUUGUGGCGGACGGGGGGGUGCGGCCGGGUGACUUGCCCUUAGGUUCGGUAUACCUCCCCGAGAGGGGAGCUAAUACAGCUUAAUGUAUUCCGAGCAAAGAUUUCUCGCCUUUGGGUGGGCUAGCGUUGGAUUAGCCGGUUGGUAGGGUAAAAGCCUACCAAGGGGAUGAUCCAUAGCUGGUCUGAGAGGAUGAACUGCCACUCGGGGACGGAGAAGCGGCCCAGACUCGUACGGGGGGGAGAAUUGGGGAAUAUGGGACAAAGGGUGAGAGACUGACCCAGCGAUGGCGAGGGAGUGAUGAAGGCCGUAGAGUUGUAAAGCUCUUUAACCCGGGAUGAUAAUGAUAGUGCCGGAAGAAGAAGCGGCGACUAACGCG